This is a non-coding RNA of Phascolarctos cinereus (koala), 1296 nucleotides long. Lineage: Eukaryota; Metazoa; Chordata; Mammalia; Diprotodontia; Phascolarctidae. The record is from RefSeq and is a predicted model, not a curated record.
AACAAAUCGUGGCACAUGAAUACAAUGGAAUAUUAUUGUGCUGUAAGAAUAUGAUAUACAGAGAAGUAUGGAAAAACAUACAUACACUGAUGUAAAGAGGAAUACAAAGGCAUAUAUUUCUUAGACAAUUUGAGAUGGGAAAUCAACAUGUGUCCUUAAAACAAUGUCAAAUAAAUGAUGAAAUUCAGAAUAAACUGUAACUCUGAAUCAUGCCCAAGUUAUCCUUAAACAUUUGAAGUUAUGUCACUGGGAAAAAGGAUUGGAUGUGUUUCGCUUGAUCCUUCAAGAGAGAUCUAGAAGCAAUAGGUACAAGGUGCAAAGAGGCAAAUUCAAGUUUGAUGUCAAGAAAAGAUUCUUAAUAAUUGAAGCUCUCCAAAAGGGGAAUGUGCUGCCUCAGAAGGAAGUGGGAAUUCCCUCACCGAGAGUCUUCAACCAAAAGAUGGAUCACCACUUGUCAGUUUUGGACUAUAUUUUUUAAUCUGAGAAUUGGACAUUCUACAGAGAUAUCAAUUUGUUUCGUGAGAGAAUAAGAAGAAAUGUUGAUUCUGAACAUUAAACAGAAACUGAGUUUAACAAAGAGAAAAGGUUUGGGGACCGAGGAGACCUACCUAUUUGCCUGGAUUAGAUGCUUUUUAUUUUUCCUUACUCAGCUUCAGGACUUUCUAUAACAAUAUUUAUAGAUUGUGAGAUUGUAGAAUAGUAGAGUUGAUGGGGACCUUAGAGUUCAUCUAGCGUCAUCUCACUUUGCUAAUGAGGAAACUAAGGUUUCAAGAGGAUGUGACUACCCUAAGGUCACACAGUACCAUAUCUGGAUACAUUUAUAUUCUCAAUAACAUUUUUUUCUGAAGUAAAAAUACGGCAACACAACUUGACAGAGGAUAUUUGUUUUAUAAAGUGUCAUGAUAAGUAAAUUUUAUUUUCUUCAAAUCAGGCCUGUGUCAGGCUGGUUAUUUAUUAUGAAGAAAAUAUCACCCCUCAUAUUGUUAUCUAAGAACGUCCAUCUACUACCAGAGAAAAAGGAUCGAUGUGGAUUAACCAUACAUAUAUAUUCUUAAGGCAAGCACUGUUCCAUGCCACACAAGUUACUAUGCAGUCUUACAUACUGUGUUUGAACCAGGGCACAUCAAUGAAAAUUCUAUCAAGGUGUGCAGUAGAGGUUUUUCAAAGUGCUAAUAAUGAAGAUUAAACUUAAAAGAUUGUGUGCAUCUGUCGGUGGAGCCGUGAACUGAUCCAACCAUUCUGGAAUGUAAUUUGGAGCUACGGCCAAAGGGCUAUAAAAUUGUGCAUAUCCUUUGA